CCCGUAGUCUAGCCUGGUAGGAUGCCCAGGGACGGUAGUCCCGCACAAGCCUGACGUUGCUCGGUUGACGGUGGUUGGUUUGAGCAUUGGAUCGCGGGAGAUCCCGGGUUCAAGUCCCGGCGGG
Molecule: transfer RNA, 124 nt
Filed under: Vulcanisaeta sp. EB80
Lineage: Archaea; Thermoproteati; Thermoproteota; Thermoprotei; Thermoproteales; Thermoproteaceae
Also listed under: 1 other name
Description: tRNA-OTHER
Source: RNAcentral